RNAcentral lists this ribosomal RNA (396 nucleotides) under uncultured bacterium. Its description in RNAcentral is "bacterial SSU rRNA". It matches the Rfam family "Bacterial small subunit ribosomal RNA", at positions 28 to 425 of the family's 1533-position model. The record is from RNAcentral.
GACGAACGCUGGCGGCGUGCUUAACACAUGCAAGUCGAGCGGUAAGGCCCUUUCGGGGGUACGCGAGCGGCGAACGGGUGAGUAACACGUGGGUGACCUGCCCUUAGCUCUGGGAUAAGCCUGGGAAACUGGGUCUAAUACCGGAUAUGACUCCAUGACGCAUGUUGUGGGGUGGAAAGCCUUGUGCGGCUAGGGAUGGGCCCGCGGCCUAUCAGCUUGUUGGUGGGGUGAUGGCCUACCAAGGCGACGACGGGUAGCCGGCCUGAGAGGGCGACCGGCCACACUGGGACUGAGACACGGCCCAGACUCCUACGGGAGGCAGCAGUGGGGAAUCUUGCGCAAUGGGCGAAAGCCUGACGCAGCGACGCCGCGUGAGGGAUGACGGCCUUCGGUUCG